GUAGGUGAACCUGCGGAAGGAUCAUUACCGAGAUUUUUUUCCUGCUUGCAGGAAAAUCUCCCACCCUUUUGUGUAUCGAAAUUCCAAUACUUUGGUGAAGCGCUUGUUGAGCAUACGUGCUGAGCAACCAGUGACUCUUUUUUAAAAUGAAGAGUGGCUGUGUCUUUGCCAAAGGAAACUCGUAACUCUAUUUUUAAAUAUACUUGUCUGAGUUUAUAAAUUUUUUAAAAUAAACAAAACUUUCAACAAC
Molecule: unclassified non-coding RNA, 250 nt
Filed under: plant metagenome
Description: partial contains small subunit ribosomal RNA, internal transcribed spacer 1, and 5.8S ribosomal RNA
Source: RNAcentral